UACGUAGGGUCCGAGCGUUGUCCGGAAUUACUGGGCGUAAAGAGCUCGUAGGUGGUUUGUCGCGUUGUUCGUGAAAACUCACAGCUCAACUGUGGGCGUGCGGGCGAUACGGGCAGACUGGAGUACUGCAGGGGAGACUGGAAUUCCUGGUGUAGCGGUGAAAUGCGCAGAUAUCAGGAGGAACACCGGUGGCGAAGGCGGGUCUCUGGGCCGAUACUGACGCUGAGGAGCGAAAGCAUGGGGAGCGAACAGG
This 253-nucleotide ribosomal RNA is filed under the name uncultured bacterium. Its description in RNAcentral is "partial 16S ribosomal RNA". It matches the Rfam family "Bacterial small subunit ribosomal RNA", at positions 524 to 776 of the family's 1533-position model. The record is from RNAcentral.